UAAACAUGGAAAGUGGAGGUUCAGCCUUUAGAAGAAAAUGUGAAGGAAACAAGUGAGUUCAUGAGAAAUCCACCCAUUUGGAAGGAAAAUGGAAGGGAGAGGGCUUUGUGAAGCUUUCACCCGAUAGGAGAGGAAGAGUUGAGAAAGAAGAAAAGAGAAAGAAAUAAAAGAAGAAAGGAGGAUGAAGAAAAGAGAAAAAAAGGUUUAGCCUAGUGAACCCAAGACACGAAAGAUCUACAAAGAUUCAAAGGACCUGAGGCAUACAUGUUGGUAGAUCUUGGAAUGCAUAGUGAUUUUGGAGCUAAAUAAGCAAUAGCAAUGGUGACUGUAGAUGUGAGGAAGUUAUGAAUCAUAUUUGGAAAUUCAAGCUUGAAUCGAGACGUAAGCAUGCAAAGUGACUACAUUGUAUUGUAUAAGCUUUGGUUGGUUUAAGUAUAUGGAUUGUAUGAUAAAUGCUUGUGAGUAAUGUUGAUCAAAGCUAUGCGAUUUAGUUAAGGAUUAUUAGUUGAUAUGCUACCAUGUAUAAGUAUAAUUAAAUGUAUUGGGUUUGAAUUAUUGCUAGGAAGAGUAUAAGUAAGAAAAGUUUACCGCGGUGGUGUGCUGAAAAGGAAAUGAGUGAUCGGGAAGUAGAAUUAGCUAGACACGUACUUGAAUGAAUAACGACGUAGCAUCCCGCUAUUGUGAGAUGAGUAGAGGUUGUUUAUUUUAAAAUUUCAUUUAUUAUAUAUAUAUAUACGUGUUAGCUUACUUUAAAUGCAAAAUUAUGGACAACAUGAGUUGGUAGAAUGUUAGGCUUAUGAAUGCCAUGUUUG
Long non-coding RNA from Theobroma umbraticum, 812 nucleotides. RefSeq lists it as uncharacterized. The record is from RefSeq and is a predicted model, not a curated record. NCBI's taxonomy places the organism in Eukaryota, Viridiplantae, Streptophyta, Magnoliopsida, Malvales, Malvaceae.